RNAcentral lists this ribosomal RNA (306 nucleotides) under uncultured bacterium. RNAcentral describes it as "bacterial SSU rRNA". It matches the Rfam family "Bacterial small subunit ribosomal RNA", at positions 30 to 334 of the family's 1533-position model. The record is from RNAcentral.
AUUGAACGCUGGCGGCAUGGCUAAAACAUGCAAGUCGAACGCGAAAGUACCUUCGGGUGCGAGUAGAGUGGCGAAAGGGCGAGUAAUGCGUUUCUAACGCGCCCCAAGGUCAGGGAUAGCAUCGGGAAGCCGGUGGUAAUACCUGAUGAUCCCAAUAGAUCAUAUGGUUUGUUGGGCAAAGGCUUGCUGCCUUGGGAUCGGGAAACGUGCUAUCAGGUUGUUGGUGAGGUAAUGGCUCACCAAGCCUUAGACGGCUAGCGGGUGUGAGAGCACGACCCGCCGCAUCGGGACUGAGACACUGCCCGG